UACGUAGGGGGCAAGCGUUGUCCGGAAUCAUUGGGCGUAAAGAGCGUGUAGGCGGUCCGGUAAGUCGGUUGUGAAAGUCCAGGGCUCAACCCUGGGAUGCCGACCGAUACUGUCGGACUAGAGUUCGGAAGAGGCGAGUGGAAUUCCCGGUGUAGCGGUGAAAUGCGCAGAUAUCGGGAGGAACACCAAUGGCGAAGGCAGCUCGCUGGGACGUUACUGACGCUGAGACGCGAAAGCGUGGGGAGCAAACAGG
Molecule: ribosomal RNA, 253 nt
Filed under: uncultured bacterium
Lineage: Bacteria
Description: partial 16S ribosomal RNA
Rfam family: Bacterial small subunit ribosomal RNA
Source: RNAcentral